This 159-nucleotide ribosomal RNA is filed under the name uncultured Piloderma. RNAcentral's name for it is "5.8S ribosomal RNA". It matches the Rfam family "5.8S ribosomal RNA". From Rfam's summary of the family: 5.8S ribosomal RNA (5.8S rRNA) is a component of the large subunit of the eukaryotic ribosome. It is transcribed by RNA polymerase I as part of the 45S precursor that also contains 18S and 28S rRNA. Functionally, it is thought that 5.8S rRNA may be involved in ribosome translocation. Lineage: Eukaryota; Fungi; Basidiomycota; Agaricomycetes; Atheliales; Atheliaceae. The record is from RNAcentral.
CAACUUUCAACAACGGAUCUCUUGGCUCUCGCAUCGAUGAAGAACGCAGCGAAAUGCGAUAAGUAAUGUGAAUUGCAGAUUUUCAGUGAAUCAUUGAAUCUUUGAACGCACCUUGCGCUCCUUGGUAUUCCGAGGAGCAUGCCUGUUUGAGUGUCAUUA